AAUCUAGGAGGCAGGUGCUCACUUGUCCUCCUCCAUGCUUAGAAAAUACAGGGAGGAGGCCAGAGUGGCAACUGUCACUACGAUU
Molecule: microRNA precursor, 85 nt
Filed under: Sus scrofa (pig)
Lineage: Eukaryota; Metazoa; Chordata; Mammalia; Artiodactyla; Suidae
Description: mir-764 microRNA precursor family
Rfam family: mir-764 microRNA precursor family
Source: Rfam by way of RNAcentral